AGUGGCGGACGGGUGAGUAACGCGUAAGAAUCUAACUUCAGGACGGGGACAACAGUGGGAAACGACUGCUAAUACCCGAUGUGCCGCGAGGUGAAACCUAAUUGGCCUGAAGAAGAGCUUGCGUCUGAUUAGCUAGUUGGUGGGGUAAGAGCCUACCAAGGCGACGAUCAGUAGCUGGUCUGAGAGGAUGAGCAGCCACACUGGGACUGAGACACGGCCCAGACUCCUACGGGAGGCAGCAGUGGGGAAUUUUCCGCAAUGGGCGAAAGCCUGACGGAGCAACGCCGCGUGAGGGAGGAAGGUCUUUGGAUUGUAAACCUCUUUUCUCAAGGAAGAAGUUCUGACGGUACUUGAGGAAUCAGCCUCGGCUAACUCCGUGCCAGUAGCCGCGGUAAUACGGGGGAGGCAAGCGUUAUCCGGAAUUAUUGGGCGUAAAGCGUCCGCAGGUGUCAGCCAAGUCUGCCGUCAAAUCAGGUUGCUUAACGACCUAAAGGCGGUGGAAACUGGCAGACUAGAGAGCAGUAGGGGUAGCAGGAAUUCCCAGUGUAGCGGUGAAAUGCGUAGAGAUUGGGAAGAACAUCGGUGGCGAAAGCGUGCUACUGGGCUGUAUCUGACACUCAGGGACGAAAGCUAGGGGAGCGAAAGGGAUUAGAUACCCCUGUAGUCCUAGCCGUAAACGAUGGAUACUAGGCGUGGCUUG
This 700-nucleotide ribosomal RNA is filed under the name uncultured bacterium. Its description in RNAcentral is "bacterial SSU rRNA". It matches the Rfam family "Bacterial small subunit ribosomal RNA", at positions 94 to 829 of the family's 1533-position model. The record is from RNAcentral.